GGGGAAUAUUGCACAAUGGGCGGAAGCCUGAUGCAGCGACGCCGCGUGGGGGAUGACGGCCUUCGGGUUGUAAACCUCUUUCGCCCACGACGAAGCCGUAAGGUGACGGUAGUGGGAUAAGAAGCACCGGCUAACUACGUGCCAGCAGCCGCGGUAAUACGUAGGGUGCGAGCGUUGUCCGGAAUUACUGGGCGUAAAGAGCUCGUAGGUGGUUUGUCACGUCGUCUGUGAAAUUCCGGGGCUUAACCUCGGGCGUGCAGGCGAUACGGGCAAUACUUGAGUGCUGUAGGGGAGACUGGAAUUCCUGGUGUAGCGGUGAAAUGCGCAGAUAUCAGGAGGAACACCGAUGGCGAAGGCAGGUCUCUGGGCAGUAACUGACGCUGAGGAGCGAAAGCAUGGGGAGCGAAC
Molecule: ribosomal RNA, 408 nt
Filed under: uncultured bacterium
Lineage: Bacteria
Description: bacterial SSU rRNA
Rfam family: Bacterial small subunit ribosomal RNA
Source: RNAcentral